RNAcentral lists this ribosomal RNA (490 nucleotides) under uncultured bacterium. RNAcentral's name for it is "partial 16S ribosomal RNA". It matches the Rfam family "Bacterial small subunit ribosomal RNA", at positions 30 to 507 of the family's 1533-position model. The record is from RNAcentral.
AUUGAACGCUGGCGGCAGGCCUAACACAUGCAAGUCGAACGGUAACAGGAAGAAGCUUGCUUCUUUGCUGACGAGUGGCGGACGGGUGAGUAAUGUCUGGGAAACUGCCUGAUGGAGGGGGAUAACUACUGGAAACGGUAGCUAAUACCGCAUAACGUCGCAAGACAAAAGAGGGGGACCUUCGGGCCUCUUGCCAUCGGAUGUGCCCAGAUGGGAUUAGCUAGUAGGUGGGGUAACGGCUCACCUACGCGACGAUCACUAGCUGGUCUGAGAGGAUGACCAGCCACACUGGAACUGAGACACGGUCCAGACACAUACGGGAGGAAGCAGUCGGGAAUAUUGCACCAUGGGCGCAAGCCUGAUGCAGCCAUGCCGCGUGUAUGAAGAAGGCCUUCGGGUUGUAAAGUACUUUCAGCAGGGAGGAAGGGAGUAAAGUUAAUACCUUUGCUCAUUGACGUUACCCUCAGAAGAAACACCGGCUAACUCCGUG